GACAGGUCACUUGAAGGCUCCCUGAGAGCUGUGCAGGAGCAGCUCCAGCAGAGCAGGUGCAGCCUCAGCUGCAGGUGUUGGGGAGGAACCUCCCAGCCCAGAUGGCAGCUGAUUGUUCCCUUCUCUCUGUGCUCCUGAUCUCACCUGAUCCAGCUGGAGAAGCUGAUGUCACCUGGCAGUGACAGUCACCUGUGUCACCAGUGCUGAGCACACAGCAUCAGAGAGCUGGGAGCAGCUUCUAAGGACUAGCUGGAGCAUCACCUGUGUUUUUGGGGGGUUGCAGACAAAAUGCAUCAGCUGAGGUCCCAGACACGAGGGUGGGAGAGCUGCAGUCCUUCCCUACAGCAUCACUGCACAAGGUUGUCUUCUAAAACCUGCACAAUGAAAGACGCCAUCUGUGCCAUAUCCUCCUGUUUAUGUCUGCUGCAUCUCUGCAGGCUGGAACCUGUUGUGGUUGCCAACACGGAGCCUCUCCAGCUGAUGAACUUCUGGGCUUGGCUUUUGAUUUUCUUUUCUCUCACAGGCAUGACUCACAUAAUAGUGCAGAGAGAAAGAAAGAAAGAAAUUUCCAGUUGCAGGGCUAUUUCUGAAAGUGUGCUUGGCACCUGUGCUGAAAUCCUGCCUGGAAGAGAAGGGGUGAGGUCCACAAUACCCAAAGGCAGCGCCCUGAUGAAUUCCUGACAGGGAGGGUUGAGUGGUAAUUCAUCCAUCAACCUGGGGAAGACUCUGUACCUCUCUUCCAGAUAAUUGAACUUUAAUUUAUUUAAAUUUAAUGGAAAACCAUAUGGAGAGGAACAGAAAGCUAAUUUAAAGCACUGCUCAAAGCAAUCAAUAUGUUAACAGAUUCCUUCAACAUUUCACAUUCGGUUGCUGAAAAAUGUUUAAAAUGUAUGGUUUUUUUUAAUUAGUAUUAUGAAAACACAGGGUUUCUGGCAUGUUGUAUUCAAAACUCAAGAGCCAAAAUAAGCCUCUGUUGUGAAAAUUGAAAUAUACUCUGGAAGCACAAAUCAUUUUAUUGGAAGUGGAAGUGACAACUGUUUAAUAUUUUACCCAAAAAUGCACAUCUCUGAAGACUUCUAGGAAGACACCUAUAAAUCCUAAAGGGCUCACAUCACUGGGUUUCAUAUGGCCCUGAAAUAAAAGCAGUAAAAUAAUUGUAGGAGUUGCA
RNAcentral lists this long non-coding RNA (1168 nucleotides) under Cyanistes caeruleus (blue tit). Its description in RNAcentral is "lncRNA (ENSCCEG00000018184.1)". Lineage: Eukaryota; Metazoa; Chordata; Aves; Passeriformes; Paridae. The record is from RNAcentral.